AACCUAAGCCGUGGGCCCCACCUCCAUUCCCCAAGCGCAGCCCCGACUCGACGGAGAAGGCGACUCGGUGCUGCUUCUCGCCGCCCGCUCCACACUUCCACCGGUCGUGUCUCCGACGGCCUAGACGGCGCUUCUGCUCCGCCUCCGCCGGCCUCUAUCCGCCAGACGCCAAGUCGGCCGUCGCCCCUAACGUCACCAGCCGCCGCCAAUUCCGAGGAAAACAUUUUUUUUUGACAGGAUCCUAUGCAAUUUUAGAUCUGGCAGUUACGACUUGCUGAAAGGCCGAAGAGAUUAAAUAUAAGAGCAAGCAAGGAUGAACUCCGGCAAGAAGUUUGGUGGUGGGCGUCCACCGACGGGGACUCCUUCCCUUGCAUUGUCUUCAGUUGUGAUUGUUGUCUCUCUCCUCGCUGGUGCCUCUAUCGUCCACAACAUUUACAAACCUGAUAUGACUAUUCCACCUGUGGAAAGUGUAAGAAGUGGCAGUGACAACAACGAUAAGAGCUGAAUUAAAACAUCAAGUGCUGGAAGCUGAACUUGGGAACCUGGGUGUCAGAGGUUGAUUUUUUUUUCUCAUUAGCAUGUAAUGUGUUAGAUGAUACUGGAAUCACUUGCUUUGUUCAGACAGAAAGAUAACAUGAGUUUGACCUAGUUGUUAGUGCUUCUGAAUCUUGAUCACUUCCCUCAUAUUGGUGGCAUGGAAAAGGAAUAUGUGAGAAGUUUUUUGAUA
Long non-coding RNA from Panicum virgatum (switchgrass), 727 nucleotides. RefSeq lists it as uncharacterized. Lineage: Eukaryota; Viridiplantae; Streptophyta; Magnoliopsida; Poales; Poaceae. The transcript is spliced from 4 exons. The record is from RefSeq and is a predicted model, not a curated record.